AUUGAACGCUGGCGGCAUGCCUUACACAUGCAAGUCGAACGGCAGCACGGGUGCUUGCACCUGGUGGCGAGUGGCGAGCGGGUGAGUAAUAUAUCGGAACGUACCUUAUUGUGGGGGAUAACGCAGCGAAAGCUGUGCUAAUACCGCAUAAUCCCUAAGGGGGAAAGCGGGGGACCGUAAGGCCUCGCGCAAUUAGAGCGGCCGAUACCUGAUUAGCUAGUUGGUGAGGUAAAGGCUCACCAAGGCAACGAUCAGUAGCUGGUCUGAGAGGACGAUAAGCCACACUGUGACUGAGACACGGCCCAGACUCCUACUGGAGGCAGCAGUGGGGAAUUUUGGACAAUGGGGGCAACCCGGAUCCAGCAAUGCCGCGUGAGUGAAGAAGGCCUUCGGGUUGUAAAGCUCUUUUGUCAGGGAAGAAACAGCAGCUCUAACACAGUUUGCGAAUGACGGUACCUGAAGAAUAAGCACCGGCUAACUACGUGCCAGCCGCCGCUGUAA
RNAcentral lists this ribosomal RNA (501 nucleotides) under uncultured bacterium. RNAcentral describes it as "partial 16S ribosomal RNA". It matches the Rfam family "Bacterial small subunit ribosomal RNA", at positions 30 to 523 of the family's 1533-position model. The record is from RNAcentral.